UACGUAGGGUGCGAGCGUUGCCCGGAUUUAUUGGGCGUAAAGGGCGCGUAGGCGGCUCGGCACGUCCGUUGUGAAAUCGCCCGGCUCAACUGGGCGGGGUCAGCGGAUACGGUCGAGCUUGAGCAAGCUAGGGGGCAAUGGAAUUCCCGGUGUAGUGGUGGAAUGCGCAGAUAUCAGGAGGAACACCAAUGGCGAAGGCAGCUCGCUGGAACGGUACUGACGCUGAGGCGCGAAAGCGUGGGGAGCGAACAGG
RNAcentral lists this ribosomal RNA (253 nucleotides) under uncultured bacterium. RNAcentral describes it as "partial 16S ribosomal RNA". It matches the Rfam family "Bacterial small subunit ribosomal RNA", at positions 524 to 776 of the family's 1533-position model. The record is from RNAcentral.